GAUGAACGCUGGCGGCGUGCCUAAUACAUGCAAGUCGAGCGAACAGACGAGGAGCUUGCUCCUCUGACGUUAGCGGCGGACGGGUGAGUAACACGUGGAUAACCUACCUAUAAGACUGGGAUAACUUCGGGAAACCGGAGCUAAUACCGGAUAAUAUAUUGAACCGCAUGGUUCAAUAGUGAAAGACGGUUUUGCUGUCACUUAUAGAUGGAUCCGCGCCGCAUUAGCUAGUUGGUAAGGUAACGGCUUACCAAGGCAACGAUGCGUAGCCGACCUGGGAGGGUGAACCGCCAAACUGGAACUGAGGCAACGUCCAGACUCCCAAGGGAAGGCAGCGGAAGGGAACUUUCGGAAAUGGCGGAAAGCUUAAGGGAGCAACGCGCGGUAGGUGUGGAAGUUCUUCGAAUGUUAAACCCUUUUUAUUGGGAAAGAAAAAUGUUGAAGUUAACAAUGCCGGCUUGAACGGUACUAAAUCAGAAAGCAACGCCUACCUACUU
RNAcentral lists this ribosomal RNA (497 nucleotides) under uncultured bacterium. Its description in RNAcentral is "partial 16S ribosomal RNA". It matches the Rfam family "Bacterial small subunit ribosomal RNA", at positions 28 to 506 of the family's 1533-position model. The record is from RNAcentral.